GACGAACGCUGGCGGCGUGCUUAACACAUGCAAGUCGAACGGAAAGGCCCUGCUUGCAGGGUACUCGAGUGGCGAACGGGUGAGUAACACGUGGGUGAUCUGCCCUGCACUUCGGGAUAAGCCUGGGAAACUGGGUCUAAUACCGGAUAGGAGCCAUUUUUAGUGUGAUGGUUGGAAAGUUUUUUCGGUGUAGGAUGAGCUCGCGGCCUAUCAGCUUGUUGGUGGGGUAAUGGCCUACCAAGGCGGCGACGGGUAGCCGGCCUGAGAGGGUGGACGGCCACAUUGGGACUGAGAUACGGCCCAGACUCCUACGGGAGGCAGCAGUGGGGAAUAUUGCACAAUGGGCGCAAGCCUGAUGCAGCGACGCCGCGUUGGGGAGGACGGCCUUCGGGUUGUAAACUCCUUUCGCUAGGGACGAAGCUUUUUGUGACGGUACCUAGAUAAGAAGCACCGGCUAACUACGUG
Molecule: ribosomal RNA, 465 nt
Filed under: uncultured bacterium
Lineage: Bacteria
Description: partial 16S ribosomal RNA
Rfam family: Bacterial small subunit ribosomal RNA
Source: RNAcentral